AACGAACGCUGGCGGCGUGUUUAAGACAUGCAAGUCGCACGGGAUAAGACAUGUAGUAAUACUUGUUUUAUUUAGUGGCGCACGGGUGAGUAACACGUGAAUUACAUGCCCUAUAGUGGGGAAUAGCCCAGGGAAACUUGGAUUAAUACCCCAUGGUAUCGAAAGAUUAAAGGUGGCCGCAAGGCUGUCGCUAUAGGAUUGGUUCGCGCCCUAUCAGCUUGUUGGUGAGGUAACGGAUCACCAAGGCAAUGACGGGUACCUGGUCUGAGAGGACGAUCAAGCACACUGGAACGGAGACACGGUGCAGACACCUACGGGUGGCAGCAGUCGAGAAUAAUUCACAAUGGGGGCAACCCUGAUGGUGCAACGCCGCGUGGAGGAUGACGGUCUUCGGAUUGUAAACUCCUGUCAUCUGGGAGAAAGACCUGACGGUAAAUAGCCGGCAGGGUUGAUAGUACCAGAAGAGGAAGGGACGGCUAACUUCGUGCCAGCCGCCGCGGUAA
This 503-nucleotide ribosomal RNA is filed under the name uncultured bacterium. RNAcentral's name for it is "partial 16S ribosomal RNA". It matches the Rfam family "Bacterial small subunit ribosomal RNA", at positions 29 to 523 of the family's 1533-position model. The record is from RNAcentral.